Non-coding RNA from Cricetulus griseus (Chinese hamster), 7699 nucleotides. NCBI's taxonomy places the organism in Eukaryota, Metazoa, Chordata, Mammalia, Rodentia, Cricetidae. The record is from RefSeq and is a predicted model, not a curated record.
CUGCAAUUAUACUGGGUGUGGCACCUGACCACUCUCCCUGUCUAUCCCACUUUAUUGUCUAUGGAAAUAUGGAUGUGCCUGGAAAUAGGCGUUUAGAUUUGUUCCUCUCAUGGUUAGAACCAAUUGCACCUCACUGACACUGACACACUCUUGUUGAUGGAAAGGCUGCAUUUCAAUUGGAAGAAGUGUAUUGAGAAGGUAUUCUGAGCAUGUGUUCUCAAAUGAUGUUAUUCUUUUGUGGCUGUGAUUCAGGACAAACUGUUUCAGUAGGCACUGCAUCGUGCAUCCUGUGAGUGUGCUUGUCUCUGCUCUCAACACGGUGCAUCAGGGAUCAACGGGCACCCCUGCAUUAUCUGACUUGGGACUCAUAAUUGCAUCAGGCUCGACCCUCUGAUGGAAAACUCCAGCACCCUGAGCCGGCACAGAGCCUGGCCUGCCCAAGUGCCCAGAGACACCGAAUGAAGAACGAGUCUCAGCAGCCUCUUUCACACAGAGAGGAAGAAUGAGGAAAUCAAGCUAAGCAGACCAGAGGCAGCUUCUCAGCUUAGUGCUGAGACCAGUUUUGGUACAAGAGCCCCAGCAAGAUAACUAGAGUGUCAGCAUCCCCCUUUCCUGCGGAAACCUUUCUUUCUGUGAACAUCCUCAGCCUACGGAUAGUGGAGGACUCAGGCAACACCUGGCUCUAUCGGCAUUGUCAAGUCUCAUAGCACCUGGGUUAGUUGUCUUCAGCCAGAUUUUCUCCACCUCUAGCCAAAUGCCAAACAAUGUCCCUGGGUUCUGAUCACUAAAGGUAAAGUGGUUCUUGGAUACAAGGAUUCUCCAGACUGUGUUGCAUGGCCACAUCUCGCUGAUGGCUACUCAGAUCCUGCAUCUGGACAACUGCCCACCCAGCUGGCCUCUAGUGGAGCAGAGAUGCCCAAGCAUGCUAUUGUUUUUGUGAUGCACUGACUGCUCUCCCAUCUCUGUUCUCCAAGCUUCUCAAUGUUGGGCCCUGGUGAGGUCUUUAGGAAAUGCUUUCUAAGCGUCAUUAAGGCCUCCCCAGCUUUGAGCAUCACACCUGCCAUAGUAGAAAAGCAGGGUUGGCUUUGCGGUCCUGUGCCUGCCUGUACAGUGUCUUGAGUCCACAUGCUGUAAAAUGUCCCUGCUCUUGGCUUAAAGUUCUGCAGCUAUUGUCUUGAAAAUCUCAGUCAUUUUUAGGUUAAUAAUUCUUUUUUUGGUUUUUAUUCCAGACAGGGUUUCUCUAUGUAGCUUUGGAGCCUGUCCUGGAAUUCAUUCUAUAGACCAGGAUGGCCUCGAACUCACAUCUACCUGCCUCUGUCUCCCAAGUGCUGAGAUUAAAGGCAUGCACCAUCACUACUCAGUCUCAGUCAUUUUAAUGUUAUUCCCCCAAGUCAUGCAGUGGCUCCUGCAAAGGCAGCUUGCCUAUCUCAAUGUUAUCUAACUCCAAAUCCCAUGGCCUGUUCUUUGGAUAUUGGAUACCUAAACAGAUGUAAGGAAGUUUAAUAUUCCUACUUUCUCCAUCUUUAUUCUUUUUGACCAUUAUUAGAAUGUUCCCCAUGCACGAACAAAAUGAGUAUAUACAUGUCUUUCUCUUCAGUUGCUUGAUUUCUUUUCAUUUAUCCACUAAUCAGAGACUUCAGAUAAACACUGCCUUUGCCAAUCAGACAGUUAAAAUUGUGCUCAAGAAAGAUGACGGCACAAGUCUGCUGAGGUAGGAACAAAUGUCCAGUCAGGCCUGCCGAGUCCUGGGACUGAUCCGAUGAUGAGAUGAAUUGAAUUCAGGACAGGGACUAACAUAGAUGGUCAUGUGCUAGUUUUAAUUCCUGGCCUGGAGCUGCCACCUGCACACCCUUGCUCUGGAACGUGGGUGAGUUGAAUUGGAGGAUGCUGUUUGGAGUAAGAUUUGGUUGAAAUAAUCAUCAGUGCAUGUAGCAUGUACAAUUUGUGGAAACUUAAUGUAAAAAUACGAUCAAGGGACAAAGUCCCUGCCCUUUCUGAAAUUAAGGGAAAGAAUAAACCCUGGCAAAUCACCAAACAGCAUACACAGCAAUUCGGUGUGAUAGACAGCAGCACACAGAGAAUGUCAGGCACAAAAAGGCAUUGUAGAGGGAGUGACAUGGAGUAGAGAGUGGAAGGAGGACUUUCAGGGUGGGGACAAGAGAGUAUGGGGAGUGGAGAUUGCAGACUCAAAACCCCUGAGACUGGAAAAGGUAUGGGCUGCUUGCGGCAUGGGAUACAGCCAGGAAAGAGCAGGGACACUGAUGGUCGAGAGGUGAACCGUGAUCAUGAAAAGGAAAGUCACAUUCAAAGCAGAAAUUAUGAUUUUUGUCUUAGUCCUUAGCAUCUGAAGUCACUGAAAGAUGCUAAGUUUUCUGUGGUUAAGGUUGGUCCUUCUGAAUUAUGCCGGGUGGAUUGAUGGGGGAAAGGAGGGGCAAGUGGUCCAGAUAGGAGCGUAUGCUAUCUGCCUGGUUAAAAGCUCAUGGGAAUUUAAAGUUGGUAGUGCAUCUGUGGAAAAUCUGUGUGACACACAGGACGGAGGAAUGGGACUGGUGAUGGACUCUGAAGCAAGGAUGGAAUGGACCACACCUGCACAUAGCAGUCAUUAAACAGUAGCUUUUUCCUUAUCCUUGAGUCUGGGCCUCUGAGGCUGCCAUCCCUUGAGUGCACUCUUAGAAAUGUAGGCUUACCUUUCUAAGCUCCAGCUGAGAAAGCCCAGAGAGCUCAGGAGUAUCCCCCUGUCCUUUCUGGUUCUGGGAACCUCUGCUGCCAGAGAUGGCCACCUUAUUGUAGCACCUGGUGAGCUGUUCCAUUUCAUAUUGAAGUUACUGUCAGUCAGGGACCCUUGUCUCUGUCCUUAUACUGUUGAGCCACACCUAUGCCAUUAUACAAUUGUCAAAAAUCAUGGGUUCCAGGUGAGGAGAAGCUAUGUGUAGGUAGGUUGCUCUGGAGAUGAGGUGGAAAUGAGAUCUCAUGAAGGGGUCGCUGGUUUCCAAGUCAUGACACCGCAGAGCAGGGUUUGGUGGAAUAGGGAUCUGAUGCUUCUCUCUCCCCUGGGCAUAUCUGGGAGGGUGUAAGUUACAAAAAAAGAGGCUAUGUGGUGCAAGGAACUCAACCAGGGACCAGGGUCUAUGUAUAUACAUGUGUGUACCUGUGUAUUGUGGGUAUAAGUGGAUGCACACAUAUCAGUACAUGGCAUUUAUUAUGCCCAUGUACUUGCAUUCUUAAGCUAAGGGCUUCAUGUGUAUGUAUGUAUGAGAUUGCAUAUUUCUGUGUAUGCACAUAUGUGUUUGUAUGUGUGGGAUGUGUGUGUGUGUGUGUGUGUGUGUGUGUGUGUAAACUGUUUGUUGUGCUUGUGUGUAUGUGCAGGAACCCUGGACUUAGGCAGCUCCUCCUCCAGAGUCACAUAUGCCCCUGGCUGCCAGCAGGUGGCCCCUGAGCACCAUGUGCUAGGCUCUGGGGACAAGGUCUGCUCUGUUCAUGCAGCCUUCUCUAAGAAUCUUUCCACUGAUCUGGCCUCUUCUCUUAAGCUUUGGUCCUGAGGCAUACAGGGACUAAGGAAGACUAUUCUAACACAUAUAAUGGGCCCGACAGUGUAGGGCUGGACUGUGGGUAGGGCUGCUGAGCACCCCCCCCCCCCCCCCGUGGUGCUCCUGGCUCUGCGCCAGGCUCUCAGCUGCACUCUUGGUCAGUAGUCACAUAGGCAAGCCUGGGCCUAGGCUAAACUAAGAAGGAAUGUGACUAUGUGACUAAAGAUCUGUACUACAGAAGGGACUGAAGAAAGUGCCAGGCAUGUCUGUUUACCUUGCUUACAGUGACACUAGGGUCAGGCAAGAUAGCAACAUGGUUUUUCUCUUGCUCAGAAGGCAGAGAGCUAAUGUUCGUGUCUCCUAAAGACAGCAACCAAGUGCCCAAGGACAGCUACUCUUAUUAGAUGAUGAUUAUCGUGUCUUUGGACUGUUGGACUUGAGAAGGAAAGUUGGACUCACUGACAUGUUUGUGAGAUCUGUGAGAAUACUAAGAGGCUUCCUUAGCCCUUGGUGUUCGCAUUGUCUAUUACCUGGGUUAUUUCUCAUGGGUGCCUGUGAGCAGAGAGGGUCUUGUCAGACUGUGUCUGGAUCUUUAGUGUUCAUCCAAGGGCUGAGUCAGGAUGGGUGCUUGAUGGUGAUUUGGUGAGCACUUAGAGGAGUAAUGCCUAUAUAAGGAUAGUUGGGGGUGUGGAAUGGAAUGCAUGGAGCUUAGAGCCAAGUUCUGGUUGAAGCUGAAAGGAUUCUAAGGGAGGUGGGAAUUCUAAAAAUGAAGGGAAGCAGACCCUUGGAGAUGGAACCGGAAAAACUAGAGUCAUUGUGCAAUCCAGUGGUUUUCCUGUCAAUUUCCUGCCAGACUUUGGGGACCUAUGAAUAUAGCUCAGGACAGAUAGUGGCAGCAGCAGGGAGGGAAAUUUGAAGAAGCUGUGAGAGGCUGGGGGUGUAACUCAGUUGGUGAAGUAAUUUUUUAGGAUGCAUGGAGCCCUGGGUUUGAUCUCCAGCAAGGUGUAAACCGGGUGUGGUGGUACACUUCCAUACUGAUGAGGAAAAUCAGAAGUUCGAGGUCAUCUUCAGCUACAUAGUGAGGCCAGUUAGAGUGCACAAGACCCUGUCUCAAAAGACCUACAACAAAUCAAUAAAAUAAAGGAAAGAAAGAAGGUUGUUGGAUGAGAUUCUGGACAUGGCCUCUAUUCAAUUGAUAAGGUUCACUGUUUUUUUUUUUUUUCUUUGAAAACAAAUUGGAUGCCAUUUUUCUUUGCUAUUUAUCAUUUGUGCCUUGUGUGGUGUGUGUGUAUGUGUUUGCUUGCUUGACUGUGUGUAGGCAUAUAUACGUAUGUAUGUUUAUGCACAAGGGUGUAUAUGUGUACUAGGAGGUCCAAGUUUGAUGAUGUUAGGAAUCAUCAUUGAUCUCUCUUUUACCUUCUUUAUAGUGAGGCAGGGUCUCUCAAUCAAACCCAGAGCUCAUUGAUAUGCCUAUCAGUCUUGCUCUGCUGUGUCCUCUUUCUGGGCCUCCAAUUGUAAGUGGCUCAUCAAGCCCACUUGGCAUUUACAUGGAUUCUGGAGGUGUGAGUUUCAAUCCUCAUUCUUACACAGCAAACAUUUAGCCAUUGAGUCAUUUUCCUUGCUCCUGAAAUUCAUUUUUAAUUGAGAAUAUUUAUUUAUUGAAAUCUGUGAUUCUAAAUUCUGCCACUAUUUCAAGAUGGCCAUGCAAGAUUUCUGUUUCCUUGGUGGUAUAUUCUAGUAGGGAGAGAAGGAAAUAUGUAAAUGGAUAAGUUAAGUCUGAGUGUGGCCCAUAAUGGAGCUGGAACCUAGUAGAGGGACUCAGGGAAGAAGAGGAGGCCAAGGGUGGACCCCGGGAGGAGGAGACAGCUGAGCCUCUGUUGUGUCUAUGAAGUGAGAAGAAGCACUUCUGGAAAAGGUUUUUGUUUGAAGAAAAAUGUCUAUGAAAAUCAGAAAACCAUCACCUAGUCAGUCUUCUCUUACUUACAUUUAUUUGUUUAAAUUUAAAUCUAAUACAGGAUUCACUGUAAAAAUUUCAAACACAGACACAGACACACAGACACACAGACACACACACACACACACACACACACGCACAUACACACACUCAUGGCAAAAUGGUCCUCUCCCCUCCAUGUCACCUCCCAAAGCCCCCAGACCCACUUACUAGUUCUCUACACCGAUAGGCAGGUAACCUCUCAGACUUCUUUCUGUACAUUGGCAAGUAUAUUUCUUAAUUACUGCUUUUGCUUGUCUUUUAGGAUGCUCAAAUUUAAUAAUCCCACACAGGACUGUUGGUGCUCUCUACUAUACUGGAUCCUUUCCCAGGCUUCCUAUCUUGGUAAAUUGGUGCUCCCAUCUCUCAGAAUCUUCCAAGCCCCAAGCUGCCCCAAGCUUGGGGACAUCCUGAUUCUUUCUUUGCACUCAGGCAACACAAGUUACUGCCCUAUCAGGUUCUGCAGGCUCUACUUUCAGGGCACACCUCAUAUCUGGGUGCUCUGUGUAGUCUUCAGCCUGGUCAAAACCCAGCACAUCCUGCCAGGACCUUCUACAUGCUCUUUAUCCCCACCCCCUGUUAUAUUUUACAGUUUUUCCCCCAUCCAGCGUCCUGUGAAAUCUUUCAAAUAUAGUAAAGCACAUCAUGCCCCUCCCUCCUUGAUACUCCAAUGGCUUCCAAUUUGCCUUCAGGAAUAAAAUCUCAACUUUUCAUCUGAAAUCUAAAAGUCAAAGCUUAAACGACUGGGCCCCAGCUUCCUUUCUAAUCUCAUCUUUUUCCUUCUUCCUCCUAUACAGUAUCCUGUAACCACACUGCAUGCCACAUCCUCGUCCUUCCUAUUGUGUAUAGAGACCUUGAGUUUGCUGGCCUGGCUUAGAGAACACCUUUCUAAUCUUAGCCCGGUGUUACCCUCCAGGGAAGCCUUCCCCAUAGCUUCACAUAUAAAUAGACUCCCUUCCUUCCUGCUUCCUCCUCCUACAAUCACCACUCUGUUUUAUGCCUGUUUUCUUUCUCUUACACUACUUACAUUACUGGACUGCCCUUGCUCCUUGCCUGUCUCUGAUCCCUUGUGUUUCAGCCCUAUCAGGACAGAGAUGUGACUCCUACUGCAUCAUUUAUAUUUCCUCUUGCUGUGAUAAAAACAAGCAAACAAAAACCUUGAUUAAAGAAAUGGGUUUAUAUACUGUAUUAUGUAUCAUAAUUGUGCAUGACUUUAUUUAUGAGCUAAAUAAAUGAAUGGAAAAAAAAAAGAAAUGGAUUUAUCUGGGCUCAAAGUUCCAGGAUAUAGACUAUCACUGUGCGGAAGUCAUGGUAGCAGGAGCUUGAGCUGGCUGGUCAUGUUGCAUCUGCAAUCAGGAAGCAUGGAGUGAUGAAUGCUGGUGCUCACCUUGCUUUAUUUUUCUCAUGCUUGUGGACCCCAGCCCAGGGGACGGCCUCUCCUAGAUUCAGGGUGUGUCAUCCCAUUUCAAUUAACCUAAUCCACCACAGACAUUCUCAGAGGCUAACUUAUUCUUGAUAAUCUGUGGUUAUGCCCAGAAUGUUAUCUUCUAGGUAAUUCUAGAUCUUGUCAAUUGGUAAUCAAGAUUAACCACAUACCUGACUUUCUCAUGGCUCUAUUGAUGGAUGAAUAAAAUGAUCUUCUUUUUGUUGCUAAUGCAAAGGGUGUAGCAAGCAUUUUUGUAGCUAUAUACCUUUGGGAAAUUGUGUAAUGGUUUCUGUGCACAGAUUCUUGGAAGUGGCUACAUAUAUUUUUAAAAUUCAAUAGAUAUUACUAAUUUCCCUCCAAAUCACUGUAUUAGUUUGAACUCCCAUUUGCUUUGGUGGAGAACUGUCUUUUCUUACAUCCCUAUCAACUCUACAUAAACAAAUAGUCAUUGUUUUCUUCCUGUUAGCCUGCGUUAUAAACAAAACAUAAGUAUUAUAUUUUGUUUUAAUUUGUACUUUCCUUAUUCUAUAAUGUUGGAUAUGGCUUUAUGUAUUCUUUGUAGUUUUUCUCUUAUAUGUGGGUGUUAGCUUUAAAGUUUUCUGUUUGUAUGCUGUAAUCCAAACAAGCACAGAGGUUAGGUACCGACCUAGUAAGGUACCAGAGGAGAGAAGAUCUUCAAAAGAAGGGGAAAUAGAAUAAAGUGUCAUAGAGAGGUAAAAGGUGAAAUUUUACCUAGAAUAGGAGAAUUUCAUA